Molecule: ribosomal RNA, 375 nt
Filed under: uncultured bacterium
Lineage: Bacteria
Description: bacterial SSU rRNA
Rfam family: Bacterial small subunit ribosomal RNA
Source: RNAcentral
AUACGUAGGUGGCAAGCGUUGUCCGGAAUUACUGGGUGUAAAGGGAGCGCAGGUGGGAUGGAAAGUUGGAUGUUUAAUCUACGGGCUCAACCCGUAUCAGCAUUCAAAACUAUCGUUCUUGAGUGGAGUAGAGGCAGGCGGAAUUCCAGGUGUAGCGGUGGAAUGCGUAGAUAUCUGGAGGAACACCAGUGGCGAAGGCGGCCUGCUGGGCUCUAACUGACACUGAGGCUCGAAAGCGUGGGUAGCAAACAGGAUUAGAUACCCUGGUAGUCCACGCCGUAAACGAUGAUUACUAGGUGUGGGGGGACUGACCCCCUCCGUGCCGCAGUUAACACAAUAAGUAAUCCACCUGGGGAGUACGACCGCAAGGUUGAA